Molecule: ribosomal RNA, 203 nt
Filed under: uncultured prokaryote
Description: partial 16S ribosomal RNA
Rfam family: Bacterial small subunit ribosomal RNA
Source: RNAcentral
ACAGAGGAGCCAAGCGUUGUCCGGAUUGACUGGGCGUAAAGCGCACGCAGGCGGUUUGGUGCGUGGGGUGUGAAAUCUGGCCGCUUAACGGCCAGGCGCCAUCCCAUACGGCCAAACUGGAGUGAUGCAGAGGUCGGUGGAAUUGCCGGUGUAGUGGUGAAAUGCGUAGAGAUCGGCAGGAACACCCAGGGGGAAACCAGCCG